Molecule: non-coding RNA, 30 nt
Filed under: Rattus norvegicus (Norway rat)
Lineage: Eukaryota; Metazoa; Chordata; Mammalia; Rodentia; Muridae
Source: RNAcentral
UGAGUGCAUACCAAGUGUGUUUUUCUGUGA